AGUGAACGCUGGCGGUAGGCCUAACACAUGCAAGUCGAACGGCAGCACAGUAAGAGCUUGCUCUUACGGGUGGCGAGUGGCGGACGGGUGAGGAAUACAUCGGAAUCUACUUUUUCGUGGGGGAUAACGUAGGGAAACUUACGCUAAUACCGCAUACGACCUACGGGUGAAAGCAGGGGAUCUUCGGACCUUGCGCGAUUGAAUGAGCCGAUGUCGGAUUAGCUAGUUGGCGGGGUAAGGGCCCACCAAGGCGACGAUCCGUAGCUGGUCUGAGAGGAUGAUCAGCCACACUGGAACUGAGACACGGUCCAGACUCCGACGGGAGGCAGCAGUGGGGAAUAUUGGACGAUGGGCGCAAGCCUGAUCCAGCCAUACCGCGUGGGUGAAGAAGGCCUUCGGGUUGUAGAGCCCUGUUGUUGGGAAAGAAAAGCAGCAGGUUAAUACCCCGCUGUUCUGACGGUACCCAAAGAAUAAGCACCGGCUAACUUCGUG
RNAcentral lists this ribosomal RNA (492 nucleotides) under uncultured bacterium. Its description in RNAcentral is "partial 16S ribosomal RNA". It matches the Rfam family "Bacterial small subunit ribosomal RNA", at positions 29 to 507 of the family's 1533-position model. The record is from RNAcentral.